UAACUGGAGAGUUUGAUCCUGGCUCAGAGUGAACGCUGGCGGCGUGCCUAACACAUGCAAGUCGGACGGGUCCCGGGUAGCAAUAUCU
RNAcentral lists this ribosomal RNA (88 nucleotides) under Candidatus Saccharicenans sp. Its description in RNAcentral is "partial 16S ribosomal RNA". It matches the Rfam family "Bacterial small subunit ribosomal RNA", at positions 1 to 87 of the family's 1533-position model. The record is from RNAcentral. Lineage: Bacteria; Candidatus Aminicenantota; Candidatus Aminicenantia; Candidatus Aminicenantales; Candidatus Saccharicenantaceae.